Non-coding RNA from Picea glauca (white spruce), 119 nucleotides. Lineage: Eukaryota; Viridiplantae; Streptophyta; Pinopsida; Pinales; Pinaceae. The record is from Rfam.
GGGUGCCAUCAUACCAACGUUAAUGCACCAGAUCCCAUUGGAACUCUACAACUAAGUGCGCUUGGGCUAGAGUAGUAUUGGGAUGGGUGACCUCCUGGGAAGUCAUAGUGUUAGACCCU